Cyanistes caeruleus (blue tit) is the source of this 661-nucleotide non-coding RNA. Lineage: Eukaryota; Metazoa; Chordata; Aves; Passeriformes; Paridae. The record is from RefSeq and is a predicted model, not a curated record.
AGGAAAGCAAAACUUGCUGUUGGAUCUCUUGGAGAGUGGGAGAAGACACCCAAAAAGAUGGCAAUAUGAUACAGGACUGAAAACAAAGACAUCCAAACCUUGAGCCAUUUAGAAGAAGCCAAAAUCUGUGCCAGAGGUUUGUCUGUUGGGUUUACUCAUGGCUUCAGUUUCUUCAGGACUAGGAGACCUCUGAGAUCGGGCUGCUUAUGUUCCUUCUCCCAGUGAAGUAUAGCUUGUCCAGUGGGACAUGUGCUUCACUGCAGCUGGUCCUUCAGGCUGUCAUGACUAACAAAGCAGCCCUUGACUGGCUGCAUGUGUCCAUCCCUAGUGUUCAGCUAUUGCCUAACUCCACUGAGAAGAAAUGGAUGCUGUAUUCAACGAUUUAGCCUACUCAAUGGACAAAGUUCCGUGAAGGAAAACCCAAGCUAAACAAAACAAAACCCACAGAAAUCAAAACAGCUGGAAAAUGCUGCUCCAUAUAAUCCCAGCUGUCCUGUCCUGCUGCUAAGAAGAACCAUACUAAGAGGCUGCUACAGACGCAUGCAGAAAAAACAUGUUGUUAGAGGCAUCAGGUUCAGGAGUCUGUGGGAUGCAGCCAUUCCUUGGGCACUCCAGAUGUAUUUAAAUAUUAAAAGAUCAAACAGUCUAUUUCCCUGUUUGC